Molecule: ribosomal RNA, 506 nt
Filed under: uncultured bacterium
Lineage: Bacteria
Description: bacterial SSU rRNA
Rfam family: Bacterial small subunit ribosomal RNA
Source: RNAcentral
UGGCUCAGGAUGAACGCUAGCGGCAGGCUUAACACAUGCAAGUCGAGGGGCAUCGGGAGUAGCAAUACUUGCCGGCGACCGGCGCAAGGGUGCGUAACGCGUGAGCAACAUGCCCGUAUCAGGGGGAUAAUCCAUGGAAACGUGGUCUAAUACCCCAUAGUAAUUAUGUAAGGCAUCUUAUAUAAUUUUAAAGCUUUGGUGGAUACGGAUUGGCUCGCGUGACAUUAGCUAGAUGGUAAGGUAACGGCUUACCAUGGCUACGAUGUCUAGGGGUUCUGAGAGGAAGGUCCCCCACACUGGAACUGAGACACGGUCCAGACUCCUACGGGAGGCAGCAGUGAGGAAUAUUGGACAAUGGAUGGAAAUCUGAUCCAGCCAUGCCGCGUGCAGGAAGAACCGGCCCUAUGGGUUGUAAACUGCUUUUGUAUGGGAGCAAUAAGGGCUACGUGUAGUCCGAUGAGAGUACCAUACGAAUAAGCACCGGCUAACUCCGUGCCAGCAGCUGC